CCAUUUUGAAGACGGUGUUUUCUCCCCCUUGGGUACGUUUUCCAAGAGCUCUCCCAUCAGAAAAAUCCCUUGUGAAGAGGACGUGGGUGUCCCAUCUCAUUAAAGUGACAAGAGCUUGUGUUGGGUUUUCUUCUCACUGGGACCCAGGCCAGGUGCAUGACUUGACCUUAGAGAGAGCCAAGCUUUUGGAACAGGCCUGUAUGAGAAAUGGCAGAUGCCAAGGUCUGAAGUCCCUCCUCCUUCUCGAACACCCUCUAGAACCAUAGAAUCUCAGAACUGGAAGGUGCCCUUCAGGCCCCUGGCUACAUAGACAAAGGCUCUGAGCGCUGGAGGGGAAGCAAGUGUACCAGUUAUUGGUACAGCCAGGACCAAACCUGGGUGUCCUGGGAGUCUUAGUUCAGGGUUCCCACCACCACCAGCCUCCAGCUGCCUCCAAUAACCAUCAAACAGCAGCCAAGAAAUCAGUGAAAUUCCCACACUCGUGCUGGGAUGGCUCAGAUGAUGCGAAUGCUCGGUGAGGCCAGGCGUGGUGGCUGCAGGAUCUGAGAGAACAUAGGGUGCACCCAGGUACCAUCCACUUCGCAGUCACUGCUGGACCAGAGCUUGCCUCUUGGGAUGCUCCAGAGCUGGAAGGAGACCUUGGAGCUCAUGCGGCUUCCUGCAUGGGUUUCCAUAGAGAAUGUGACACACGACUGUGAAGACCAUUUUGUUUUCUAGAGCUCUGUUUCCUCUUACUCCAUCCCCAUUCAGUCUGUGAAAAUUGCCCAAUGGAAACCCCACAUUCUGCUCUUAUCAGUGGCCGUUAGAACUCCAGGUGAGGUGACAAGAAUCAAGCACAGGUGCUUGGGUUUCGAACUCUCAGAAAGAGUCUUCGCCCUGGGCACAUUUCAGAGAGCAGAUGCCUCACUUGUGAACAUCUUGCACAUCGAAACUGCUGACAAAAAUGUUUUUUGCUUCUGCACUUUUUGUUAUAAGCAUAUAGUGAACCACCUAUAUUUAGCAUAAAUGGGCGUUUGUGAGUGGUCUUGGGAAUCUAAAUAUAAUGUAUUUCGUUUCUAAAUUACAAACAACCAACUUACAAGGGGAAUUUUGGUCUUUAGCCUAUUUAUGAAAUCAGGCACUUUCUGAACUAAAAAAGAGGAGGAAAGGAAUGAGCAUUUAUUGAAUGUUCAUUAUAUACUACCCACUUUACAGAAGGAUUCCAUCUAAUCCAGUAGCCCAAGGAGAAAGGCCUCUCCCUCAUUUCACAGGUGAGGAAAUGGAAGCUCGGACAUAAUGAGUGGCAGAAUCAGGAUUCGGACCAAGUUCCAGCUCCAAAUCUGACUGUUUCCAUGGUUCCUCUAGUUGGCUGGCAUCCUCCCCACACUGAGCAUCCUGGGGCCAGACUGAAAGUGGGCCAUCUCCCUCCCAAGCACUCCCCUAGCAAGGAGGAAUCCUGCGGCCGGGACGCCCAGCACAGUGCAACGCUGAAUGUCAGCUGUAUGUGUUUAGCGAGGCUGCUAAGACACUCAACACGAAGGGGACCACCUCGGGCCAGUGACCAAGAGUCUGUCCUUGACCAAACUCUAGCCAGGCUCCUCUGAGCCCUCUUCUCAACUAGUGCUCAACCUUGUCCCAUAAAGACUUAAACAAAACACUAACAUAGUUUUUAACAGCUCAAGACCGUAUCCCUAGGAUGACCCUAAACCCCACUUAAGGUAUUGCCUGAGAAAACUCAAGGCUGCCGAAAGAACUGACUGUUCCAGCAACACUUGAAGACAGGGCCCCUGUCUCCCUGCCAGUGUGGGAGGGUAGGAGCCUAAGUGCCAGCUAGCAAACCCAGAUGGGUUUCCCAUGGACCAACCCCUGCCCCCAUAGUUUGUAAUUUUUCACUUCCCUGACUGUACGGAGCCCCUGGUCACCCCCCUCCCCAUUCCUUCUUUCUUCCUUUAAAACACUCAGGUGCUUCUGUGCAAAUCAAAGUUGAGUUCAGUUCACACUGGGCUCUUUUCCCUAUUACAAUGGUAUGUUACUGAUUAAAAU
Molecule: long non-coding RNA, 2022 nt
Organism: Equus caballus (horse)
Lineage: Eukaryota; Metazoa; Chordata; Mammalia; Perissodactyla; Equidae
Source: Ensembl